CUUCUUUUCUUCCACAAGGCCCUACCCUCUCCCUCUCAUUUUUGAACUGAACCCUUCUUUUCCCCUUCGUUUGAACUCAAGGUGGUGGUGCUGGGUUGUGAGGUGUGCUAGCUGGUGUUGGGGUUCCCCUCUCCUUCCUCCUGCAUUCAAGCUCCCUAGUUUACUCUUCUCUUCCGCUCAAGCUUUCCGGAGCUCAGAAUUUUCACCCGAGAGCAGGGAUAGAAGGUGGAUAGCGAUGAGUCGGCAGCUGAUAGAUGGAGCUGACAUCUAUGGAUGUUUUGUUUGUUUUAGUCACUAGGCAUAGUGACUUCUGAUGUAAUUCUUGUUUUAUAUACCCUAAUUCUAGUCGGAUUCGGGACAUAUGUAUAUACUUAUAUUCUAGACUCUAUAUUUAUAUACUUGUUUUCUA
Molecule: long non-coding RNA, 409 nt
Organism: Cajanus cajan (pigeon pea)
Lineage: Eukaryota; Viridiplantae; Streptophyta; Magnoliopsida; Fabales; Fabaceae
Source: RefSeq, a predicted model, not a curated record